Molecule: ribosomal RNA, 497 nt
Filed under: uncultured bacterium
Lineage: Bacteria
Description: partial 16S ribosomal RNA
Rfam family: Bacterial small subunit ribosomal RNA
Source: RNAcentral
GACGAACGCUGGCGGCGUGCCUAAUACAUGCAAGUUGAGCGCUGAAGGUUGGUACUUGUACCAACUGGAUGAGCAGCGAACGGGUGAGUAACGCGUGGGGAAUCUGCCUUUGAGCGGGGGACAACAUUUGGAAACGAAUGCUAAUACCGCAUAAAAACUUUAAACACAAGUUUUAAGUUUGAAAGAUGCAAUUGCAUCACUCAAAGAUGAUCCCGCGUUGUAUUAGCUAGUUGGUGAGGUAAAGGCUCACCAAGGCGAUGAUACAUAGCCGACCUGAGAGGGUGAUCGGCCACAGUGGGACUGAGACACGGCCCAAACUCCUACGGGAGGCAGCAGUAGAGAAUCUUCGGCAAUGGACGAAAGUCUGACCGAGCAACGCCGCGUGAGUGAAGAAGGUUUUCGGAUCGUAAAACUCUGUUGGUAGAGAAGAACGUUGGUGAGAGUGGAAAGCUCAUCAAGUGACGGUAACUACCCAGAAAGGGACGGCUAACUACGUG